This 478-nucleotide ribosomal RNA is filed under the name uncultured bacterium. Its description in RNAcentral is "partial 16S ribosomal RNA". It matches the Rfam family "Bacterial small subunit ribosomal RNA", at positions 28 to 523 of the family's 1533-position model. The record is from RNAcentral.
GACGAACGCUGGCGGCGUGCUUAACACAUGCAAGUCGAACGGUAAGGCCCUUCGGGGUACACGAGUGGCGAACGGGUGAGUAACACGUGGGUGAUCUGCCCUGCACUUCGGGAUAAGCCUGGGAAACUGGGUCUAAUACCGGAUAGGACUCCUGGCUUCAUGGCUGGGGGUGGAAAGCUUUUGCGGUGUGGGAUGGGCCCGCGGCCUAUCAGCUUGGUGGUGGGGUAAUGGCCGACCAAGGCGACGACGGGUAGCCGGCCUGAGAGGGUGACCGGUCACACUGGACGUGAGAGACGGCCCAGAGUCCUACGGGAGGCAGCAGUGGGGAAUAUUGCACAAUGGGCGCAAGCCUGGUGCGGCGACGCCGCGUGAGGGAUGACGGCCUUCGGGUUGUAAACCUCUUUCAGCUAUGACGAAGCGCAAGUGACGGUAGUAGCAGAAGAAGGACCGGCCAACUACGUGCCAGCCGCCGCCGUAA